Molecule: ribosomal RNA, 760 nt
Filed under: uncultured bacterium
Lineage: Bacteria
Description: bacterial SSU rRNA
Rfam family: Bacterial small subunit ribosomal RNA
Source: RNAcentral
CUUAUACAUGCAGUCGUACGGUAACAGGUGUAGCAAUACAUGCUGACGAGUGGCGCACGGGUGAGGAACACGUACGCAAUCUGCCUUUGACUGGGGGAUAGCCCUGGGAAACUAGGAUUAAUACCCCAUAACAUUACGAUGUGCAUCACAUUGUAAUUAAACCUUCGGGGGUCAAAGAUGAGCGUGCGUUUGAUUAGGUAGUUGGCGGGGUAACGGCCCACCAAGCCUACGAUCAAUAGCUGGCGUGAGAGCGCGACCAGCCACACGGGAACUGAGACACGGUCCCGACUCCUACGGGAGGCAGCAGUAGGGAAUAUUGGACAAUGGCUGAAAAGCUGAUCCAGCCAUCCCGCGUGAAGGCAGAAGGUCCUAUGGAUUGUAAACUUCUUCUCUCUGGGAAGAAAAAGCCGGUUUCUACCGGAACUGACGGUACCAGAGGAAUAAGCACCGGCUAACUCCGUGCCAGCAGCCGCGGUAAUACGGAGGGUGCAAGCGUUAUCCGGAUUCACUGGGUUUAAAGGGUGCGUAGGCGGGCUUGUAAGUCAGUGGUGAAAGCCCGGAGCUUAACUUCGGAACUGCCGUUGAUACUGCAAGUCUUGAGUACGGUUGAGGUGAGCGGAAUACAUCAUGUAGAGGUGAAAUUCUUAGAUAUGAUGUAGAACACCGAUUGCGAAAGCAGCUCACUAAAGCGUAACUGACGCUGACGCACGAAAGCGUGGGGAUCAAACAGGAUUAGAUACCCUGGUAGUCCACGCCCUAA